RNAcentral lists this ribosomal RNA (355 nucleotides) under Salmonella enterica subsp. enterica serovar Tennessee. RNAcentral's name for it is "partial 23S ribosomal RNA". It matches the Rfam family "Bacterial large subunit ribosomal RNA", at positions 200 to 589 of the family's 2925-position model. The record is from RNAcentral. Lineage: Bacteria; Pseudomonadati; Pseudomonadota; Gammaproteobacteria; Enterobacterales; Enterobacteriaceae.
AUCUAAGUACCCCGAGGAAAAGAAAUCAACCGAGAUUCCCCCAGUAGCGGCGAGCGAACGGGGAGGAGCCCAGAGCCUGAAUCAGCAUGUGUGUUAGUGGAAGCGUCUGGAAAGGCGCGCGAUACAGGGUGACAGCCCCGUACACAAAAGCGCAUGUGCUGUGAGCUCGAUGAGUAGGGCGGGACACGUGGUAUCCUGUCUGAAUAUGGGGGGACCAUCCUCCAAGGCUAAAUACUCCUGACUGACCGAUAGUGAACCAGUACCGUGAGGGAAAGGCGAAAAGAACCCCGGCGAGGGGAGUGAAAAAGAACCUGAAACCGUGUACGUACAAGCAGUGGGAGCCCCACCACUAAGC